RNAcentral lists this ribosomal RNA (414 nucleotides) under uncultured microorganism. Its description in RNAcentral is "bacterial SSU rRNA". It matches the Rfam family "Archaeal small subunit ribosomal RNA", at positions 459 to 872 of the family's 1478-position model. The record is from RNAcentral.
CAGCCGCCGCGGUAAUACCGGCGGCCCGAGUGGCGGUCACUAUUAUUGGGCUUAAAGCGUCCGUAGCCGGGGUGGGAAGUCCUCCGGGAAAUCUGGCCGCUUAACGGUCAGAAUGCCGGAGGAUACUCCCAGCCUAGGGAGCGGGAGAGGCCGAGGGGAUUCCCGGAGUAGGGGUGAAAUCCUAUAAUCCCGGGAGGACCACCUGUGGCGAACGCGCUCGGCUGGAACGCGUCCGACGGUGAGGGACGAAGGCCAGGGGAGCAAACCGGAUUAGAUACCCGGGUAGUCCUGGCUGUAAACGAUGCGGACUUUGUGUCGGACAAGCUAUGAGCUUGUCCGGUGCCGGAGGGAAACCGUUAAGUCCGCCGCCUGGGGAGUACGGCCGCAAGGCUGAAACUUAAAGGAAUUGGCGGG